AUCUCGUGAUGAGGGCAUUUUCUUAACAACUCUUUAAAUCUUUCCCAUGCUUCAUACAAUGACUCUAUCUCCAUCUGACAAAAAUUAUUAAUCUCCCUCCCAACCGU
Molecule: small nucleolar RNA, 107 nt
Organism: Humulus lupulus (European hop)
Lineage: Eukaryota; Viridiplantae; Streptophyta; Magnoliopsida; Rosales; Cannabaceae
Source: RefSeq, a predicted model, not a curated record